GCGGACAUGUCAAGUGUUCGAGUAGAUGACUGAUUAUCUCACAUUUUGAAAGCCUUCCUAAGUUCCAGAGAGUGGCCACAUCUACUGAAGAGGCAAUACUAACACACCUGUUACUAGCGGUUGUGAAAUGAAGAUUGCACGGGACUGAUCGAAAUGUGGAGGUUCUCUCCGCGGCCACUAGAUGGCAGCAGCGGCAGCCGAGUGUUAGCACACGUUUCUGUGGUCAGAUGAGUGGCAACCACCGAGGACGGCGCACCUGUAUUCCUGCCUGUCGUAAUAAACUUCACUGCAAUCC
Molecule: long non-coding RNA, 295 nt
Organism: Scylla paramamosain (green mud crab)
Lineage: Eukaryota; Metazoa; Arthropoda; Malacostraca; Decapoda; Portunidae
Exons: 2
Source: RefSeq, a predicted model, not a curated record